GGGCCCAUAGCUCAGUCGGUUAGAGCAUUUGACUCAUAAUCAAAGGGUCGCUGGUUCGAGCCCAGCUGGGCCCA
RNAcentral lists this transfer RNA (74 nucleotides) under Algoriphagus aquatilis. RNAcentral describes it as "tRNA-Ile". It matches the Rfam family "tRNA". From Rfam's summary of the family: Transfer RNA (tRNA) molecules are approximately 80 nucleotides in length. Their secondary structure includes four short double-helical elements and three loops (D, anti-codon, and T loops). RNAcentral also lists the same sequence under 1 other name. The record is from RNAcentral. Lineage: Bacteria; Pseudomonadati; Bacteroidota; Cytophagia; Cytophagales; Cyclobacteriaceae.